Molecule: long non-coding RNA, 820 nt
Organism: Harpia harpyja (harpy eagle)
Lineage: Eukaryota; Metazoa; Chordata; Aves; Accipitriformes; Accipitridae
Exons: 3
Source: RefSeq, a predicted model, not a curated record
CGAGAUCGCUAUUGGCGCCGUGACCUCUGUACGAGAGCGGUAGCGGCUAGUAAACGCUGAGGGUUGGUGAUGGCUCCUGGUGGUGUUAGUUAGACCUGCCUGUGGCAAUUCCCGCCAGACUUUGCCUCGUGUUGUGCUGGCUUGGAGAGCUUACGGUUCUGUUUGUGUGAUUACGGGGUACGCUUGGGGAGUAGACGAGGAUUGGGUUAGGUCUCCUUUACCUCUCCGCGCCCUUCUGAGCGAGGCCUGCGGGCGGGGAGGCUCGUGCCUGUUCGGUGGGAUUUUAAAAACCUGCUUCCAUUGAGCUGAACAAAGAAGUGAGGGAAACGCCUGUUCUGUCUUCCGUUAUCACGCACUCGGAGAACAAAACCUCCCCUUCACCACGGGUGGCUGAACUAGUGGAAGGCGCACACCAUGUGGAUCCAAGUUCGUACCAUAGACGGCACUGAGACCCAUACCAUUGAUGAUCUGAGCCGUCUCACCAAGAUUGAGUGUUUGCGGGAGAAGAUCCAGAAGACCUUCUGUGUGAGCCCUGACCGCCAGCGCCUCUUCUACCGGGGCAAGCAGAAUGUCAGAAGAUACAUUUGACACUAAGCGGUUGUGGAUUAUAAUCCUGUUGUGUGCUUUACGGUUGGCUAUGAUGCGCAGUCACUUACAGGCCUAUCUGAAUUUAGCCCAGAAAUGCGUGGAUCAGAUAAAAAAGGAAGCCAGCAGAAUAAGUACAACUGAUUUACAAAAAAUGGUGUCUCGGAUAUUCUAUUAUCUUUCUGUAAUUGCACUGCAGUAUGUCGCACCAUUUGUAAUGGUCCUUCAUGCAACU